CCUCAUCUGCCGACUAUCACAUACAUCGUUCUAAACCCUAGCCUCUCCUUCACCCCCUAUCUAUCUAUUGCAAUCGGUUUACAUGGAUUAGAUUAAAUCAGACGAAUCAUUCCCAUUUCGAUCAGUGGCGAUCAUGUCUGGAAAGUAGCGGGUGCGUGUGGUGUGUUAUGUUUGAUUGUAGGUCUCCUUAAAGUUUAUCUUACGUUGUAGGAUUUCCAAGAACACUUGAAGAUCUUCAUCUUCUUAGGUAAUUCUUAAUAUUAAUAAUAAUCUCAUUUUUUAUGUUGUUUUUAUGUAUUAUUGGGAUUUUAAACAUUUCAUUAAUUUGUAUGUGAUAAUUGAUUAA
Molecule: long non-coding RNA, 346 nt
Filed under: Helianthus annuus (common sunflower)
Lineage: Eukaryota; Viridiplantae; Streptophyta; Magnoliopsida; Asterales; Asteraceae
Description: sRNA HanXRQr2_Chr01g0012641
Source: RNAcentral